Molecule: ribosomal RNA, 222 nt
Filed under: uncultured bacterium
Lineage: Bacteria
Description: partial 16S ribosomal RNA
Rfam family: Bacterial small subunit ribosomal RNA
Source: RNAcentral
CAACGUAGGUAAUGUGCCUUUGGGUGGGGAAUAGCUCGGCGAAAGCCGGAUUAAUACCGCAUAAUGCAGCGGCUCCUGAUGGAGACAGUUGUUAAAGAUUUAUCGCCUAAAGAGCAGCCUGCGGCAGAUUAGCUAGUUGGUAAGGUAAUGGCUUACCAAGGCUACGAUCUGUAGCCGACCUGAGAGGGUGGUCGGUCACACUGACACUGAAUAACGGGUCAG